GGAUGGGUGGCAGAGCGGUCGAUUGCGACGGUCUUGAAAACCGUUGUGGGGGCAACUCCACCGGGGGUUCGAAUCCCUCCCCAUCCGCCA
Molecule: transfer RNA, 90 nt
Filed under: Candidatus Enterousia intestinigallinarum
Lineage: Bacteria; Pseudomonadati; Pseudomonadota; Alphaproteobacteria
Description: tRNA-Ser
Rfam family: tRNA
About the family: Transfer RNA (tRNA) molecules are approximately 80 nucleotides in length. Their secondary structure includes four short double-helical elements and three loops (D, anti-codon, and T loops). Further hydrogen bonds mediate the characteristic L-shaped molecular structure. tRNAs have two regions of fundamental functional importance: the anti-codon, which is responsible for specific mRNA codon recognition, and the 3' end, to which the tRNAs corresponding amino acid is attached (by aminoacyl-tRNA synthetases). tRNAs cope with the degeneracy of the genetic code in two manners: having more than one tRNA (with a specific anti-codon) for a particular amino acid; and 'wobble' base-pairing, i.e. permitting non-standard base-pairing at the 3rd anti-codon position.
Source: RNAcentral